UACGGAGGAUGCGAGCGUUAUCCGGAUUUAUUGGGUUUAAAGGGUGCGUAGGCGGACUGUCAAGUCAGCGGUAAAAUUGAGAGGCUCAACCUCUUCCCGCCGUUGAAACUGGUGGUCUUGAGUGGAUGAGAAGUACGCGGAAUGCGUGGUGUAGCGGUGAAAUGCAUAGAUAUCACGCAGAACUCCGAUUGCGAAGGCAGCAUGCCGGCUUCCUACUGACGCUGAAGCACGAAAGCGUGGGGAUCGAACAGG
RNAcentral lists this ribosomal RNA (252 nucleotides) under uncultured bacterium. RNAcentral describes it as "partial 16S ribosomal RNA". It matches the Rfam family "Bacterial small subunit ribosomal RNA", at positions 524 to 776 of the family's 1533-position model. The record is from RNAcentral.